This is an RNA transcript of Apus apus (common swift), 2880 nucleotides long. It is a transcript of the gene named tetratricopeptide repeat domain 14, with no coding region annotated. NCBI's taxonomy places the organism in Eukaryota, Metazoa, Chordata, Aves, Apodiformes, Apodidae. The transcript is spliced from 11 exons. The record is from RefSeq and is a predicted model, not a curated record.
GUUCCUGUUCCGGGCGGGGCGGCGGGAUGGACCGGGAGCUGCUGCGGCAGGCGCUGAGCUACCACGGCCCCGCGCUGCUCUCCCUGCUCCGCGCCGAGCAGCACGACAACCCCGACUUCCGCGGACUGCUGCCGCCGCCGGGGGCUGCCCUCGAGCCGCCCCGCGGGGCCCCGCACCCGCCGGCCGCCUGGAAAGAGACGUCGGGCAUUGACACCGAGAUAAAGCGCUUCAUUGCCAGGAAGGCUGACCUGCUCUUUGCCCACGCCUGGAGGCCCAACGGGCCGUUCUGCGACGCCAUCGAGGAGCAUGAGGAGUAUUACGCUGUCAUGCCUCCCCUGGAACGGUUCCUGGAUGUUCCCAGGGAAGACAGGAGAGAACUGUUUUUUCGGGACAUCGAGCGCGGCGAUAUCGUGUUUGGGAGGAUUACUUCUAUCCGUGAAUUUGGCUUCUUCAUGGUGCUCAUUUGCCUGGGAAGUGGCAUCAUACGGGAGAUAUCAGAUUUGGAAAUCAGUGCUCUUUGUCCCUUGAGAGAUGUUCCUCCUCAAAGCAACCAUGGAGAUCCUUUAUCUUAUUAUCAAAAUGGGGACCUUAUUCGAGCUGCAAUCAAGGAUGUUGAUCGUUACCAUGAGAAGCUCACGGUGUCACUUUACAGCUCAGCUCUUCCACCCAAUUUUUCCAGUACAAAACUGGGUGUAGUUACUUCUGAUGACCUCCCGUUACAUUAUAGGCGAAGCAUGGAAGUUGCUAACACAGGAGAGACAUUUGAAGAGGUUUUGCAUCGUUCCCCGGGCUUCGCUAAUCCGUCAUUAGUUGAAUAUCUAGCAGAAAAACUAGGACUAAGUGAAUCAAAUCCACCCUCUUUGCUGAGAAGCCUUCAAAUUAAAAACUUCAGUGAAGAAGAUUAUGCCCCUGCAUUGAGGAAAAAGCAAUCUGCAUCCUGGGCCUUGAAAUGUGUGAAGGCUGGGGUUGAUUAUUUUAAGGUUGGGCGCCAUGUGGAAGCCAUGAAUGAGUACAACAAGGCUUUGGAAAUUGAUCCACAAAACGUUGAAGCUUUGGUAGCACGUGGAGCUCUAUAUGCAACAAAAGGAAGUCUGAACAAAGCUAUAGGUGAUUUUGAAAUUGCUUUAGAAAACUGUCCUACCCAUAGAAAUGCAAGAAAAUACCUCUGUCAGACACUUGUGGAAAGAGGCGGACAGUUGGAAGAGGAAGACAAACUAGUAAAUGCUGAGAAUUACUAUAAAAAAGCCUUAAGUUUGGAUGAGACAUUUCAGGAAGCACAAGAGGCCUUAACAAAGCUCCGUAAGCACAUGCAGGUGAUUCUUUACUUUCUCUUCAUAUAAUAUGCUCAGUGACAAUACGUGAACAUAAAAGGUCAUACUAAAUCUUUUGAACAGGGAGAGUUCAAGUUGGUUUGUCUUAUUCUCUGCUUCCCUUCUCCACAGUAAAUCUUUUAUAGUGAGCAUUAUGGCUGUACCUACCAGAAGAAAGGUACCUCUUGGUGACUCCACUGUUUUGAAGAGGGUAGUAAAGAAAUGACAAAUAGUGGAGACAGGGAAAGAGCAAAUAACUGUCAACCCUGUCAGCUAAAACAAGAAUAAGAGUAGUCCACCACACAAGCAUGAUUACUGAUGUUAAAACAUUCUGUGAAUACAAACAUGCAAAACGUGAGACACUUACACAAGCCAAACAAACAUUCCAUACCAUUGGAUCAGCCAGAUCCUUGUCAUUUGGAGUAGUUAUGAAAAGAUAACCAGUCAAAACUAACUCACAGGAGUGUCACAAGAGGGGAAAUUAAGAGGUGCUUUAAAGGGAAGUGGCAGGAGGUGGAAGGGUGGGUGGACAGGCAGUUUUUAGCUUUCUCCUCUGCUGUCUGUUUUUCCCCCCUCUUCUCUUGCAUGCAGCAUGUUUCCCAGGUGAGCCCUGGUGGGGCUCUCUGUUAAUCUGAAUUGUUGUCUUUUUUUCUUUUGUUUACCUCCUUUACUUGUGUUGUCUUCCAGAGAGGAUCAAAGAGUAAAACAGCACUGAGGAGCAGGCUUGUUUUGUUCUAUGCUUCUGCAUGUAAGGAGUUACAUAGACUGGGUAGAUGGCCCUGGGCAGUUCUUCAGUUGGUGGAGCCAUAAUGCUGACAGGCUGUGUUGAAAAAAGGGGGAAGAGGAGAUAUGACAAUCUUCUUAAUAAAACUGAACUACAUCAUAGCUAAACCAUUGUUGGCUGCGUUAAAAAAAGGUGUCAGUCUCAGCUAAAAUUGUGAAGAAUGUUGUCAGCAAGAAGGAGACCAAUUUUACUCUCCUUUUGCAUUUUCCUGGUAUAAUAGGUCAUUGCUGCAGCAGAUGAAACCCAGGGUACCAGCUACUGUUGGAAGAUUUGAAAGGUGUUAGCUGCUACUGAGGGUUUCCUUUGUUGUGUCUGUUGCUAAGUUUUGAAAACAAUAGACUCUUUAACUCACUCUCAGUAUGAAUUAGACCUACUCUUUAUAGCUAUAGAAGGCAGAACUAUGAUCUCUAAUAGACUUAAUUAGUUUAAGGAUUAUUCAUUUGAUGAGAUAUUCUGUAUUUACCUUUGUUUUCAUACCUAAGUCUGAUACUAUCACUGUUGUGCUAGAAUGGCUGAAACAGCCCUGAAGUCUUUUUUCCUGUAAUACUGAUUAUGUGUUUUUCUCCAAUGCAUUUUCUUCUGAAUUGGACCGUUGUUGCUGUAUCUGACACCUGGUGCUGCUCAUCACCAACAAACCCUUGGAACAUGAUUUCUUACGUAAACUAUGCCUCAAACUGGUCUGUGAAAUUGUUACAAAACGAAAUCUUUGGAAAUGAGGGAGAAACAAGCUGCCAAAGAAGCAAGACAGAAAGAAAAGAAAGUAGAAACAAGUGCAGAAAAAUUGCG